AUGUAUAGCCACAUACAUGGAGGAGAGAUGGCUGAAGGACUUUGUACUCAGGAUUUUUCAAGACAUGUGGUGUAUCAUGCUCCCUGGCUCCUUGUGGGACCAGCCUGGUUUUCUGCUUUCCUCUGUUGGCAAAGGAUGGUGAAGGCAGAAAACUCCUUCUGCUGUCUUGGGAGAUGUCAACUCUGGACCUCUAAGCGGUUGAUGCCUGCCAAUGCUGACUGGUCAGGUGAGAUUCCUCAGUGCAAGUACGCAGUGGGAGCUUUGGCUCCGCACCAGAAAGGAGGCAGAAGAAUGAAGGAAUGCUCUCCUGGCUCCCCUCCAGGUAGCAGGGAAGGCGACGAGGACUGUGAGUGUCCGCAGCAACUGCUGGGCAAGGAUGGGGGGAAGGAGAGGAGGGCACAGCAGGGAAGGGGAACUGUUGGAGGCAAUGGUCAUAUUGUGUUUCCCAGGGGCCCUGCACUAAUGUACCCAUCUGAGCUUCCCAUUUGA
Molecule: long non-coding RNA, 489 nt
Filed under: Anas platyrhynchos platyrhynchos (common mallard)
Lineage: Eukaryota; Metazoa; Chordata; Aves; Anseriformes; Anatidae
Description: lncRNA (ENSAPLG00000016922.1)
Source: RNAcentral